Long non-coding RNA from Spea bombifrons (plains spadefoot toad), 96 nucleotides. RefSeq lists it as uncharacterized. Lineage: Eukaryota; Metazoa; Chordata; Amphibia; Anura; Pelobatidae. The transcript is spliced from 2 exons. The record is from RefSeq and is a predicted model, not a curated record.
GAGUUCCUGAUUUUAUCCUAAAGCAUUUAGUCUCGGCUGAUGUUUCUUGAUGUGAAGGUUUUUGCCAGUAAAUGUUAAUUCAUGUAAACUAUUUUU